AGGAAAUCGCAUUUGCCCAUCAAUCUUGUAUUUCGAAUAUCAAAUAUUAUAAGAAAAGGGAAUAUUACAUUUGCCUCUCAAUCUCCCAUUUAAUCCCAACGAUGCUGACCCACACUGUCUGACCCCAACCUAAACUGCCUCCAAGAAAUUUUAGAAAGGAAAAAUUUGAAGGAUAAUUCGUUUUGUAUAUAGUGUAUGCCCUGAGAGCUUUGGCCUAUCUACUUUAUUAAUCUGAGCUUCAUAAAGAAGGAAAAAAAUUUCAUGUAUUCGUUACUAUGUUUGAAUAUGUGGAGCAACAGAUUCUUGGCUUGAACAACCCCUUCCAUUCCCUGAGGAAAUGGAAAGCUCAGGACAGCCAACAGAGUCCAUUGAACAAGCUUCUGCACUUGAUGAUUCUUCAAUAGGUAUCACAAGGCUGCGGCUGAACUCUUGUUGUUGCUGCUGUUCUGAUGCAAUCUGCAAAUGAUGGUUGGAGUUAGAAUUAUCUUGCUGUAGUGGUGUCUCAGUCCCACCAGAUUGCUCCAGGUUAUCAAGUUUGGUGGUGGGGAUGACAAAAGUUCUACAAAGUGGACAAGUUGAGUUUGAGUGCAGCCAAUGAUGAAUACAUUCAAUGUGAAACACAUGUUUGCAGGAUGGAAUUUGCAGCAACUCCUCUUUGAUCUCAAAUUCCCCCAAACAAACACAACACUGUGAUUCUCUUGUCAUUAAUUCUUCAUCAAAUAAUACAAUUGGAAGCUUGUCUUUGAUCUCUUUCUUCAAGCCAAUCUGACAAACAGAGGGCGCAGAUUGAGUAGACUGGUUGGAGGUUAUUGGAAGAAUCUGAGUAGGAGAUGAUGAGAGUGAGCUGGAGGUAGCCUUUCUCUUGAGGUAGAACAAGUAAAACAAGAGCAAUAGAAUAAUGGAGAAGAGGAUAGGAAUUGAAAAUAUGAAAGUCUGGUAAAGUUUAAGUUGAAGUGCUUGAGGAUAAAGAUGAGGAGGGGUUGCAUUUGGAAGAAGACCCAUGAAUCUCCAAGCUUCUAAAAAUUAGAGACAGAAACUAAAAUCUAGUUUAGAGUUAAAAGAGAUGCAUGGGAGAGGUACAAAAGCCUUGUUGAAUGUAUUUAUGAAGAGAAUUGAAAUAGUUAGUAUU
RNAcentral lists this unclassified non-coding RNA (1129 nucleotides) under Hevea brasiliensis (rubber tree). The record is from RNAcentral. Lineage: Eukaryota; Viridiplantae; Streptophyta; Magnoliopsida; Malpighiales; Euphorbiaceae.